This 498-nucleotide ribosomal RNA is filed under the name uncultured bacterium. RNAcentral describes it as "partial 16S ribosomal RNA". It matches the Rfam family "Bacterial small subunit ribosomal RNA", at positions 30 to 523 of the family's 1533-position model. The record is from RNAcentral.
AUUGAACGCUGGCGGCAUGCCUUACACAUGCAAGUCGAACGGUAACAGGUCUUCGGAUGCUGACGAGUGGCGAACGGGUGAGUAAUACAUCGGAACGUGCCUAGUAGUGGGGGAUAACUACUCGAAAGAGUGGCUAAUACCGCAUGAGAUCUACGGAUGAAAGCAGGGGAUCGCAAGACCUUGUGCUACUAGAGCGGACGAUGGCAGAUUAGGUAGUUGGUGGGAUAAAAGCUUACCAAGCCGACGAUCUGUAGCUGGUCUGAGAGGAGGAUCAGCCACACUGGGACUGAGACAAGGCCCAGACUCCUACGGGAGGCAGCAGUGGGGAAUUUUGGACAAUGGGCGAAAGCCUGAUCCAGCAAUGCCGCGUGCAGGAUGAAGGCCUUCGGGUUGUAAACUGCUUUUGUACGGAACGAAAAGCCCCGGGUUAAUACCCUGGGGUCAUGACGGUACCGUAAGAAUAAGCACCGGCUAACUACGUGCCAGCCGCCGCAGUAA